AUCUUCGUGGUGUAGUGGUCAGCACACUCGGCGCGUAUUCGAGAGGUCCGUGGUUCGAUUCCUGGCGAGGGCA
This 73-nucleotide transfer RNA is filed under the name Stegodyphus mimosarum. It matches the Rfam family "tRNA". From Rfam's summary of the family: Transfer RNA (tRNA) molecules are approximately 80 nucleotides in length. Their secondary structure includes four short double-helical elements and three loops (D, anti-codon, and T loops). Further hydrogen bonds mediate the characteristic L-shaped molecular structure. tRNAs have two regions of fundamental functional importance: the anti-codon, which is responsible for specific mRNA codon recognition, and the 3' end, to which the tRNAs corresponding amino acid is attached (by aminoacyl-tRNA synthetases). tRNAs cope with the degeneracy of the genetic code in two manners: having more than one tRNA (with a specific anti-codon) for a particular amino acid; and 'wobble' base-pairing, i.e. permitting non-standard base-pairing at the 3rd anti-codon position. The record is from Rfam by way of RNAcentral. Lineage: Eukaryota; Metazoa; Arthropoda; Arachnida; Araneae; Eresidae.